CCUACGGGGGGCUGCAGUGGGGAAUAUUGGACAAUGGGGGCAACCCUGAUCCAGCCAUGCCGCGUGUGUGAAGAAGGCCCUCGGGUUGUAAAGCACUUUCAGAGAGGAAGAACGCCUGGUGGUUAAUACCCAUUAGGAAAGACAUCACUCACAGAAGAAGCACCGGCUAACUCCGUGCCAGCAGCCGCGGUAAUACGGAGGGUGCGAGCGUUAAUCGGAAUUACUGGGCGUAAAGCGCGCGUAGGUGGCUUGAUAAGCCGGUUGUGAAGCCCCGGGCUCAACCUGGGAACGGCAUCCGGAACUGUCAAGAUAGAGUGCAGGAGAGGAAGGUAGAAUUCCCGGUGUAGCGGUGAAAUGCGUAGAGAUCGGGAGGAAUACCAGUGGCGAAGGCGGCCCUCUGGACUGACACUGCCGCUGAGGUGCGAAAGCGUGGGGAGCAAACAGGAUUAGAUACCCCGGUAGUC
This 464-nucleotide ribosomal RNA is filed under the name Vreelandella stevensii. RNAcentral describes it as "partial 16S ribosomal RNA". It matches the Rfam family "Bacterial small subunit ribosomal RNA", at positions 338 to 795 of the family's 1533-position model. The record is from RNAcentral. Lineage: Bacteria; Pseudomonadati; Pseudomonadota; Gammaproteobacteria; Oceanospirillales; Halomonadaceae.